RNAcentral lists this ribosomal RNA (447 nucleotides) under uncultured bacterium. RNAcentral's name for it is "partial 16S ribosomal RNA". It matches the Rfam family "Bacterial small subunit ribosomal RNA", at positions 29 to 523 of the family's 1533-position model. The record is from RNAcentral.
AGCGAACGCUGGCGGCAGGCUUAACACAUGCAAGUCGAGCGCCCCGCAAGGGGAGCGGCAGCCGGGUGAGGAACACGUGGGAACGUGCCUUUUGGUUCGGAACCACACAGGGAAACUUGGGCUAAUACCGGCUCAGCCCUUACGGGGACAGAUUUAUCGCCAAAAGAUCGGCCCGCGUCUGAUUAGCUAGUUGGUGGGGUAAUGGCCCACAAAGGCUACGAUCAGUAGCUGGUCUGAGAGGAUGGUCAGCCACAUUGGGACUGAGACACGGCCCAAACUCCUACGGGAGGCAGCAGUGGGGAAUAUUGGACAAUGGGGGCAACCCUGAUCCAGCCAUGCCGCGUGAGUGAUGAAGGCCUUAGGGUUGUAAAGCUCUUUUAGCAGGGAAGAUAAUGACGGUACCUGCAGAAAAAGCCCCGGCUAACUUCGUGCCAGCCGCCGCAGUAA